RNAcentral lists this ribosomal RNA (111 nucleotides) under Pseudomonas schmalbachii. The record is from RNAcentral. Lineage: Bacteria; Pseudomonadati; Pseudomonadota; Gammaproteobacteria; Pseudomonadales; Pseudomonadaceae.
CUUGACGACCAUAGAGCGUUGGAACCACCUGAUCCCAUCCCGAACUCAGUAGUGAAACGACGCAUCGCCGAUGGUAGUGUGGGGUCUCCCCAUGUGAGAGUAGGUCAUCGU